GACGGUACCUAAUGUAAGCAUCGGCUAACUCCGUGCCAGCAGCCGCGGUAAUACGGAGGAUGCAAGCGUUAUCCGGAAUCAUUGGGCGUAAAGAGUCCGUAGGUGGCACUUCAAGUCUGCUUUCAAAGACCGAAGCUCAACUUCGGAAAGGGAGUGGAAACUGAAGAGCUAGAGUAUAGUAGGGGUAGAGGGAAUUCCUAGUGUAGCGGUGAAAUGCGUAGAGAUUAGGAAGAACACCAGUGGCGAAGGCGCUCUACUGGGCAUAUACUGACACUGAGGGACGAAAGCUAGGGGAGCGAAAGGGAUUAGAUACCCCUGUAGUCCUAGCGGUAAACGAUGGAUACUAGGCGUAGUGCUGUUAGAAGGACUGUGCCGAAGCUAACGCGUUAAGUAUCCCGCCUGGGGAGUACGCACGCAAGUGUGAAACUCAAAGGAAUUGACGGGGACCCGCACAAGCGGUGGAGUAUGUGGUUUAAUUCGAUGCAACGCGAAGAACCUUACCAAGGCUUGACAUCCUGCGAAUCUUGGAGAAAUCUGAGAGUGCCUAAGGGAACGCAGAGACAGGUGGUGCAUGGCUGUCGUCAGCUCGUGUCGUGAGAUGUUGGGUUAAGUCCCGCAACGAGCGCAACCCUCGUCCUUAGUUGCCAGCAUUAAGUUGGGGACUCUAGGGAGACCGCCGGGGAGAACUCGGAGGAAGGUGGGGAUGACGUCAAGUCAGCAUGCCCCUUACGUCUUGGGCUACACACGUACUACAAUGGUUGGGACAAAGGGGAGCGAAACCGCGAGGUGGAGCGAAUCUCAUCAAACCCAGCCACAGUUCAGAUUGCAGGCUGAAACUCGCCUGCAUGAAGGAGGAAUCGCUAGUAAUCGCAGGUCAGCAUACUGCGGUGAAUCCGUUCC
This 900-nucleotide ribosomal RNA is filed under the name uncultured cyanobacterium. RNAcentral describes it as "bacterial SSU rRNA". It matches the Rfam family "Bacterial small subunit ribosomal RNA", at positions 471 to 1374 of the family's 1533-position model. Lineage: Bacteria; Bacillati; Cyanobacteriota. The record is from RNAcentral.